Molecule: long non-coding RNA, 378 nt
Organism: Mustela putorius furo (domestic ferret)
Lineage: Eukaryota; Metazoa; Chordata; Mammalia; Carnivora; Mustelidae
Source: Ensembl
CAUGACUAUGAAACUACCUGGAGGGGUGUCCACAGACAGUAAAUAUUUGUCAUCUUUAUUUGACAGAGAGGAGCAGCUUGGAAUGUUUCCCCGGACUGUGCACCUCGACACGGCAGUGAGAUUUCCACGGGUCAUUCCCGGGCUCUGCGAAGAGUUCACAGCAGGAGAGCUGUAGAUAAAUACCUUGAGAACUCUGAGAGAGAUAUUGCUUUCUACUGGGAAAUACAUAAGAAUAUUAUUUGAUACAGCAAGUAGCAUUCGGACCUUAAAGGUGAGUAAUAUUUUGCAAUGGAGACAAUGUUGUCAUGGCAAUUAGGGAGAUGGGAUCACCGAUAUUAUCUGUGGGGCUCUAAGGCACAGCCAGUGGAGCUCUAGAAC